RNAcentral lists this transfer RNA (74 nucleotides) under compost metagenome. RNAcentral's name for it is "tRNA-Gln". The record is from RNAcentral.
UUCGGGGUCGACCAGGAUGUCGGCGAUGUUCUGGACGUCGCGGACCUCGUCUGGUCCCUUUCGGACCUCCAGGA